ACCCUAGUCUCAGUUCGGAUUGGAGUCUGCAACCCGACUCCAUGAAGCUGGAUUCGCUAGUAAUCGCGCAUCAGCCACGGCGCGGUGAAUACGUUCCCGGGCCUUGUACACACCGCCCGUCAAGCCAUGGAAGCCGGGAGUGCCUGAAGUGCGUGAGCGCAAGCAGCGCCCUAAGGUAAAACCGGUGACUGGGGCUAAGUCGUAACAAGGUAGC
Molecule: ribosomal RNA, 214 nt
Filed under: uncultured bacterium
Lineage: Bacteria
Description: partial 16S ribosomal RNA
Rfam family: Bacterial small subunit ribosomal RNA
Source: RNAcentral